GCAUUAAUGGGGUAGUGGUAACCUGGGUCGUUGCCAUACGCAUACUGACCGCAGUUCCUUUAUCGACCCGCCGGGGGUUCGAUUCCCUCUUAAUGCA
Molecule: non-coding RNA, 97 nt
Organism: Tephrocybe rancida
Lineage: Eukaryota; Fungi; Basidiomycota; Agaricomycetes; Agaricales; Lyophyllaceae
Source: the annotation of a GenBank genome assembly